Long non-coding RNA from Mytilus californianus (California mussel), 637 nucleotides. RefSeq lists it as uncharacterized. NCBI's taxonomy places the organism in Eukaryota, Metazoa, Mollusca, Bivalvia, Mytilida, Mytilidae. The record is from RefSeq and is a predicted model, not a curated record. The transcript is spliced from 4 exons.
GGGUCAAACAACUGAACUAACUACACAGUUAUUCCUUAAAGGCUACUAUAGCAUGACAUCUUGGUGAGGUCACAGGGUCAAACAUCUGAACUAACUUCACAGUUAUUCCUUAAAGGCUACAAUAGCAUGACAUCUUGGUGAGGUCACAGGGUCAAACAACUGAACUAACUUCACAGUUAUUCCUUAAAGGCUACAAUAGCAUGACAUCUUGGUGAGGUCACAGGGUCAAACAUCUGGACUAACUUCACAGUUAUUCCUUAAAGGCUACAAUAGCAUGACAUCUUGGUGAGGUCACAGGGUCAAACAUCUGAACUAACUACACAGUUAUUCCUUAAAGGCUUCUAUAGCAUGACAUCUUGGUGAGGUCACAGGGUCAAACAUCUGAACUAACUUCACAGUUAUUCCUUAAAGGCUACAAUAGAAUGACAUCAUGGUGAGGUCACAGGGUCAAACAACUGAAUUAACUUCACAGUUAUUCCUUAAAGGCUACAAUAGCAUGACAUCUUGGUGAGGUCACAGGGUCAAACAACUGAACUAACUUCACAGUUAUUCCUUAAAGGCUACAAUAGCAUGACAUCUUGGUGAGAUGACAGGGUCAAACAUCUGAACUAACUUCACAUCAGUUGUACAAUCCUGU